Molecule: long non-coding RNA, 3019 nt
Filed under: Gallus gallus (chicken)
Lineage: Eukaryota; Metazoa; Chordata; Aves; Galliformes; Phasianidae
Description: lncRNA (ENSGALG00010004809.1)
Source: RNAcentral
GGUCAUCCUGAAGCAUUAAAUGCAAGACACUGGGGUUUGGCCCUUCCACAGCUUUUACUGUGGAAUCUGAUGCAUCUACAUGCACUUUGCUGAACUACGUGCAUCUUCCGUGUAAGAAAAAUCCGCUGUCAUGGGUUUAAUACAAGCUAAAACAUGAGAUGACUUCUAAAAUUCUGUAUGUAGAUGUGAGGCAUGUUAAUGCAGGAAUCAGCUGGCCCACCACUACACAUUUGAAGGGCAGGUAGAUCAUAAUGCAAGCAAAACUGCUGAUGGAUGCUGAUUUUACUACUUCCUUUUUAGUGGUGGUGUUUGUUUUUUUUUUUCCUUUAAAGGCAUAUUUUUCAACAUAGAUUUAUUUUUUUAUGUGCUAGUAUUGAGCGUUUAUGAAUCCCUACAAAUAACAUUUCCAGCUUUAGGAAUCAACCCACAUUGGAGAGGAAAACAAGGAUGUGAAAAUCUGCAUCUUAUUUGCAUGUAUAUUACUACAUAACUCUGAAGGUUAAUAAGAAGACAACCAGUUUUUUUUCAAGCAAUUAGCCAAGAAUUUACAAAAGCUCUGUUGAGAAUCACCAUGCUGUGCAGGUUUCCUAUAGCUUCUACUUUGUCCCAGAGCACCAUUCCAGUAGGGGGGGGGGGAAGGGGGGGAGGGAAAUUCAAUUAAUUAUACUGUUGUCAUGUUCAAUUUUUAUUAUCUUCCUAUGUGUCAAAGUUGUUGAUAGUAAACAAGAAAUGGAAUCAGCUUCAUUUUGACCUAAGACUUACAGGAGCAUCUUUCCUUACUCAAAGGGUCAAUUAAUGGGAACAGAAACAAAUCAGUGAUCCUUCAGUCCCAUUAGAAAUGAUGUCAAUUGGAAUGAGUCUUUGACCACUUAAUCUGUAAACUGCAACUGGCUUCUAAACCCCCCUCUUUUCUCAAGGACGUCCCCGAGUUGGUCGAACUACUCAGAGCAAAGAUUUAGUUAAGGCAGUGUUAAAAUAAAAGCACAAGCUGGAGAUCUGCUUCCAGCUCAUCAUAUGCACCUGGGAAUCUCAGAACAUAUUUGGCUUCAUCAGACUACCCAGCCAAUUAGUUGUUAAGUGACAGCGGUCGUGCAUUAGAAAAGGGAGUUGAAUGGCAGUGAACUGCGAGAGCUGGAAACCCACAGUAUCUGAAGAUAGAUGAAGUCCUGUCACUGCCACUAUUACUUGUCACAGGUGACUAAAAGGCAGUGGAGUUCAGCUUGCCAGGAUGAUGACUUUAUUAAAGUUUUUUCACCUUUAUUUCAAAUUCUUUUAGACAAGUCUAGGAAUUUUGCCUCUUAAGACACGGAGGGGUUACCUUCAGUUUGGGAAAAGGAUGUAAAACAUUCAAAAAUAAAUACACAGAUAAGUAAAGAAGUAUUUCUGUGCAUAUGCGACUAUAUUCAUGCCUGAGCUAAAACUGUACGAGUUGGAAAUUGUUUAAUUCAUAUCAAGUAAGGAUAAGUAUAUAGCUAAAUAACUUUGGACCUGAGUAAAGGGAGAAGCUUCCAAAAAACCCAAUACGUCUGCAUGUUUUACCAAAAACCUUAUGAAAUCUACUUUUUUAUUAUUAUAUUUAGUGAAAGUCUUGAAUAUGUGCAGUGUCAUGAUCCAACAGAUGCUAGUUACUGCCUGCAGUUUCACAAUCCAUUCACCAUAAAACACGCCUUUUAUAACAGAAAAAAUUCACUGAAUUACUUAAUCAAUACCACUUGGUGUCAGAUUAUAUGUAACAGAAAUAAUCUCUUGUUUAAGGAUUUCUCUCCAAAUAGCAACUCAGUGAGAACAGGGGCUCCUUAGCAUCUCAGCGCUCAUUCAUGUCCACUUGGAAUACUAGAUGCACGGUUGAGAAAUCUGCAAGAAAUUAAGGAAGUUUGGAUUUGCCUAGUAAUACUUUGACUUGGUAGCAUAACUGCUACCAAGACUUGAAAUAAUAAAUCUGUGAUGGAAGCUGUGUAGGGCACACCUGGCAUGACGGAUGGUGAUAGUCAUACUUUUGUUGUCAGCUGCGGGCACCACGCGUUAUGCCAAAUGCUUUCCCCAUUCCCAAGGCAUCCAAGGAACCCAGCUGGAAAAUAAGUCUGACUUCUCAGUGAUCUUACUCUGUUCCCACUAUUUCAGUCUUAAUGCAUAAAACUUUCUCCUGGGCUGGACUUUCACUAAGUAAUUAUUAAUUGACCUUCUGUGUCUAUGUAAAAUGAAGCAGAAUACUCCUUCUGCUCACUCAUCCUGUAGCUAAGGAACAACAAAAGGUGUUUGGCAACUUUGGUGCCAACCUUUGGUGGCCCUUCUUAACCUGUCCAGGAAGCUCCCAGGGCUUUAUCUUCUUCAUAACUGACAUGUUUGACUUCCCAGUGCUUUACAAAUGAUUCUUGUCUUCAGCAAAUAAGUUUAACUUCGAACAUACAUGUAUUCAAUAUAUAUUGUUAUCAAGCUGAUUAAAGACCUUUACUCAACACAGCACGUAUAAUUCUGAGUUAAUAAUGCCUGUUAAUUUAUGCUAGAUUAUCAACAAUUUAUCAAUAAACAGUCCAGAGAAGUAGGGAAGACUACUCUAUUUGCAGUUGUUUGUUAAAUAUUUUGUUGUACCUCAAAUGUACUUCAGAUCAUGAUAAAACUGCCCAUUUUGUUGAAUUAACUUCACUAAUUUGCUGCAUUUUAAAAGUUUUUAGGAAAAGUAAAUUGGCAUCUGGAAUGUGGGUGUUUACACCAUUCACUGUUUCAGCAUAACAGAAACUGCAGCAACAUAUCUCAAUUUUCCCUGCCCUAGAUUCAGGAAAUGAUGCAAGUUAAUUUCUGUUGUAAGUGCUCAGGAAUAUGUCAACCUGAUGAAGGAUAUUUUCUGGAUCUGAAAUACUGACACAUCUGGCUCGAUAUACAGGUGAGAGUUCCUAAAAUAAAGCUACUUUAAAUAUAUAUUUUGCUUAAAAUAGCCGAGACUUGCUUAGAAUAAUUCCAGUUCUCCUCAAGCUUAAAUGAGACACCCACAUACCAGACCAUUCCAUCUCCUAUUUUAAUG